GAUGAACGCUGGCGGCGUGGAUAAGGCAUGCAAGUCGAACGGUCCUGCACUUUCGCAAGAAAGAGUGGGAUAGUGGCAAACGGGUUAGUAACACGUGGGUGACAGACCCCCGCCACGGCCAUAGCCUUUUGAAAGAAAGGGUAAUAGCCGAUGGUCCGAGCACAUAAAUUAUGUGCUCGGUAAAGGUCAUCUGUAAAGAUGACCGGGCAGGGAAUGGCCCGCGGCCUAUCAGCUAGUUGGUGAGGUAAUGGCUCACCAAGGCAAUGACGGGUAGGCGGUGUGAGAGCAUGAUCGCCAACAAUGGGACUGAGAUACGGCCCAUACUCCUACGGGAGGCAGCAGUCGAGAAUAUUGGUCAAUGGAGGAAACUCUGAACCAGCGACGCCGCGUGCUUGAAGAAGCCCUUCGGGGUGUAAAGAGCUUUUAUCCGUGAACAAUCCCGCUUGCGGGAUGAGUGUAACGGAUGAAUAAGGGGGUGCUAAUCACGUGCCAGCAGCCGCGGUAAUACGUGACCCCCAAGCGUUAUCCGGAUUUAUUGGGCGUAAAGAGUCUGUAGGCGGUCUGGAAAGUCUUUGGUUAAAGACCCAGGGCUUAACCUUGGGAAUGCCAGAGAUACUGCCGGACUAGAGGGCGUUAGAGGCUGGAGGAACGGUCGGUGUAGGGGUGAAAUCCGUUGAUAUCGACCGGAACCCUAAAAGCGAAGGCAUCCAGCUGGGGCGACCCUGACGCUGAGAGACGAAAGCGUGGGGAGCAAAAAGGAUUAGAUACCCUUGUAGUCCACGCUGUAAACGAUGGACACUGGCUAUCUGAAGUGUCGACCCUUCAGGUGGCGAAGCUAACGCGUUAAGUGUCCCGCCUGGGAAGUACGGCGGCAACGCUAAAACUCAAAGGAAUAGACGGGGAUUCACACAAGCGGUGGACCAUGUGGCUCAAUUCGACAACAAACGAGGAACCUUACCAGGGCUUGACAGACUAGUGAAACCCUGACGAAAGUCAGGUCUACCCACAAGGACACUAGUUCAGGUGCUGCAUGGUUGUCGUCAGCAUGUACUUUGAAGCGCACGCUUAAAUGCGGUAACAUGCGCAACCCCUAUUGCUUGUUUUAUUUGUCAAGCGAGACUGCCUGGGAUGACCAGGAGGAAGGUGGGGAUGACGCCAAAUCAGCAUGGCCCUUUGAUGCCCUGGGCUGCACACGUGGUACAAUGGGGCCGACAAUGGGUCGCGAAAGGGUAACCUGGAGCUAAUCCCAUCAAACGGCCUCCCAGUUCGGAUUGAGGUCUGCAACUUGACCUCAUGAAGCCGGAAUCGCUAGUAAUCGCAUAUCAGCCAUGGUGCGAUGAAUAUGUUCCUGAAUCUUGUACUCACCGCCCGUCACAUUAGGGAAGCCGGCAGUAGCCGAA
Molecule: ribosomal RNA, 1400 nt
Filed under: uncultured bacterium
Lineage: Bacteria
Description: 16S ribosomal RNA
Rfam family: Bacterial small subunit ribosomal RNA
Source: RNAcentral